This 208-nucleotide unclassified non-coding RNA is filed under the name Hevea brasiliensis (rubber tree). The record is from RNAcentral. Lineage: Eukaryota; Viridiplantae; Streptophyta; Magnoliopsida; Malpighiales; Euphorbiaceae.
GUUUUUAUUUUAUUUAUUUAUUUAAAAAAAAAAUCGUUUGGCAGCUGAUCUUAUGUGUUUUGGUUUUUGAAUGAAUAAUGGAUCCAUGGUUUUUUUAGGCUUUUUGUGUUUGUGUUUGUGUUUGUUUUUCUAUGUUCUGCAUGCUAUGUCUGUCAGUAUGAUAAGAAAGAAUAGAGUAUCAUACUUGGCAAACUGUUUGCGCCCUUCU